AGAAAAGUAAGCUAAUAAAGCUAAUGGGUUCAUACCUCAUCUAUAGAAUUGAUUUCUCUUUUCUA
RNAcentral lists this transfer RNA (65 nucleotides) under Prionoglaris stygia. RNAcentral describes it as "tRNA-Met". Lineage: Eukaryota; Metazoa; Arthropoda; Insecta; Psocodea; Prionoglarididae. The record is from RNAcentral.